This 21-nucleotide non-coding RNA is filed under the name Caenorhabditis elegans. Lineage: Eukaryota; Metazoa; Nematoda; Chromadorea; Rhabditida; Rhabditidae. The record is from RNAcentral.
UGGAGAUUACUUUAUCCGAGA